AAAACAUGUCUUUUUGGAAAUAAUUUAAAGUCUAAUCUGCCCACUGAUAAAUAUUAAAGGGCUGCAGUAUAUUGACUGUACAAAGGUAGCAUAAUCAUUAGUCUUUUAAUUGAAGACUUGUAUGAAAGAUUUAAUGAAAUAUAAACUGUCUCUUAUUUAUAAUUAGAAUUUAAUUUUUUAGUUAAAAAGCUAAAAUAAAUUUAAAAGACGAGAAGACCCUAUAGAGUUUUAUAAUUAAUUUAUUUUAGAUUAUAUAUAUAAUUUAAAAUUAAAAAUAAAUUAAUUAUUUUAUUGGGGUGAUAGAAAAAUUAAAUAAACUUUUUUUAAAUAUAGUCAUAAAUAAAUGAUUAAAUGAUCCAUUAAUAAUGAUUAAAAGAAAAAAUUACCUUAGGGAUAACAGCGUAAUUUUUUUUUUUAGUUCAAAUAAAAAAAAGAGAUUGCGACCUCGAUGUUGGAUUAAGAUAAAAUAUAAAUGCAAAAGUUUAAAAUUUUGAUCUGUUCGAUCAUUAAAAUCUUACAUGAUCUG
This 526-nucleotide ribosomal RNA is filed under the name Danaus genutia (orange tiger). Its description in RNAcentral is "partial 16S ribosomal RNA". The stretch from base 393 to 526 matches the Rfam family "Bacterial large subunit ribosomal RNA", at positions 2473 to 2607 of the family's 2925-position model. Lineage: Eukaryota; Metazoa; Arthropoda; Insecta; Lepidoptera; Nymphalidae. The record is from RNAcentral.